RNAcentral lists this ribosomal RNA (214 nucleotides) under uncultured bacterium. RNAcentral describes it as "partial 16S ribosomal RNA". It matches the Rfam family "Bacterial small subunit ribosomal RNA", at positions 1287 to 1500 of the family's 1533-position model. The record is from RNAcentral.
CCCAGUUCGGAUUGUAGUCUGCAACCCGACUACAUGAAGCUGGAAUCGCUAGUAAUCGCGAAUCAGAAUGUCGCGGUGAAUACGUUCCCGGGUCUUGUACACACCGCCCGUCACACCAUGGGAGUCGGAAAUGCCCGAAGUCAGUGACCCAACCGUAAGGAGGGAGCUGCCGAAGGUGGAGCCGGUAACUGGGGUGAAGUCGUAACAAGGUAAC